Molecule: unclassified non-coding RNA, 345 nt
Filed under: soil metagenome
Description: partial contains 5.8S ribosomal RNA, internal transcribed spacer 2, and large subunit ribosomal RNA
Rfam family: 5.8S ribosomal RNA (bases 1-121)
Source: RNAcentral
GAUGAAGAACGUAGCGAAAUGCGAUAAGUAAUGCGAAUUGCAGAAUUUCCGUGAGUCAUCGAAUCUUUGAACGCACAUUGCGCCCACUGGUAUUCCGGUAGGCAUGCCUGUUCGAGCGUCAUUAUCCUCCCUCAAACCCCGGGUUUGGUGUUGGACCCAAGUUGUGUGAACAACUGGUCUCAAAGACAAUGACGGCGUCCGUGGGACCCUCGGUGCAACGAGCUUUUAGGAGCACGCGCCGAGUUGCAAGGACCUUCCGGGCCGGUCUCCUUUACUAUUUUACAAGGUUGACCUCGGAUCAGGUAGGAAUACCCGCUGAACUUAAGCAUAUCAAUAAGCGGAGGA